Molecule: small nuclear RNA, 188 nt
Filed under: Haliotis rufescens (red abalone)
Lineage: Eukaryota; Metazoa; Mollusca; Gastropoda; Lepetellida; Haliotidae
Description: U2 spliceosomal RNA
Rfam family: U2 spliceosomal RNA
About the family: U2 is a small nuclear RNA (snRNA) component of the spliceosome (involved in pre-mRNA splicing). Complementary binding between U2 snRNA (in an area lying towards the 5' end but 3' to hairpin I) and the branchpoint sequence (BPS) of the intron results the bulging out of an unpaired adenosine, on the BPS, which initiates a nucleophilic attack at the intronic 5' splice site, thus starting the first of two transesterification reactions that mediate splicing.
Source: RNAcentral
AUCGCUUCUCGGCCUUUUGGCUAAGAUCAAAGUGUCUGUUCUUAUCAGCUUAAUAUCUGAUACGUCUCCUAAUGGAGACAUCGAUAUUAAACUGAUUUUUAGAAUGGGAUGAGGUGCCACGGGGCUUGCUCCGCCCUCAUCACGGGUUGACCCGGUAUUGCAGUACCUCCGGGAAUGGCCCACCACUC